CUAAAUAGUGCGAAACGGGGUGUCCUGCUUCCCUGGUGGGGGGCAGGCUGAAAAGGGAAGCCGGUGCAAAUCCGGCGCGGUCCCGCCACUGUGAGGGGAAGGGCCCCACAUUAUGUCACUGGCCCAGCACUCAGUUAAUUGAUUCUGCUCUGACAGAGGUUAGCUGAUGAUAAAAAUAAAGUAGCGAUGAACGGAAAUAAGUAUGGCUGAGUGUUGGGCUGGGAAGACGUGGAGUUCCGAUGAACCCGAGCCAGGAGACCUGCCCCGUUUUAUCUACCAUG
This 281-nucleotide non-coding RNA is filed under the name Desulfofundulus australicus. The record is from RNAcentral. Lineage: Bacteria; Bacillati; Bacillota; Clostridia; Eubacteriales; Peptococcaceae.